RNAcentral lists this ribosomal RNA (714 nucleotides) under Pseudoalteromonas shioyasakiensis. RNAcentral's name for it is "bacterial SSU rRNA". It matches the Rfam family "Bacterial small subunit ribosomal RNA", at positions 108 to 817 of the family's 1533-position model. The record is from RNAcentral. Lineage: Bacteria; Pseudomonadati; Pseudomonadota; Gammaproteobacteria; Alteromonadales; Pseudoalteromonadaceae.
GAGUAAUGCUUGGGAAUAUGCCUUAUGGUGGGGGACAACAGUUGGAAACGACUGCUAAUACCGCAUGAUGUCUACGGACCAAAGUGGGGGACCUUCGGGCCUCACGCCAUAAGAUUAGCCCAAGUGGGAUUAGCUAGUUGGUGAGGUAAUGGCUCACCAAGGCGACGAUCCCUAGCUGGUUUGAGAGGAUGAUCAGCCACACUGGGACUGAGACACGGCCCAGACUCCUACGGGAGGCAGCAGUGGGGAAUAUUGCACAAUGGGCGCAAGCCUGAUGCAGCCAUGCCGCGUGUGUGAAGAAGGCCUUCGGGUUGUAAAGCACUUUCAGUAAGGAGGAAAGGUUAAGUGUUAAUAGCACUUACCUGUGACGUUACUUACAGAAGAAGCACCGGCUAACUCCGUGCCAGCAGCCGCGGUAAUACGGAGGGUGCGAGCGUUAAUCGGAAUUACUGGGCGUAAAGCGUACGCAGGCGGUUUGUUAAGCGAGAUGUGAAAGCCCCGGGCUCAACCUGGGAACUGCAUUUCGAACUGGCAAACUAGAGUGUGAUAGAGGGUGGUAGAAUUUCAGGUGUAGCGGUGAAAUGCGUAUAGAUCUGAAGGAAUACCGAUGGCGAAGGCAGCCACCUGUGUCAACACUGACGCUCAUGUACGAAAGCGUGGGGGAGCAAACAGGAUUAGAUACCCUGGUAGUCCACGCCGUAAACGAUGUCUACU